This 465-nucleotide ribosomal RNA is filed under the name Vreelandella stevensii. RNAcentral's name for it is "partial 16S ribosomal RNA". It matches the Rfam family "Bacterial small subunit ribosomal RNA", at positions 338 to 795 of the family's 1533-position model. The record is from RNAcentral. Lineage: Bacteria; Pseudomonadati; Pseudomonadota; Gammaproteobacteria; Oceanospirillales; Halomonadaceae.
CCUACGGGCGGCUGCAGUGGGGAAUAUUGGACAAUGGGGGGAACCCUGAUCCAGCCAUGCCGCGUGUGUGAAGAAGGCCCUCGGGUUGUAAAGCACUUUCAGUGAGGAAGAACGCCUGGUGGUUAAUACCCAUCAGGAAAGACAUCACUCACAGAAGAAGCACCGGCUAACUCCGUGCCAGCAGCCGCGGUAAUACGGAGGGUGCGAGCGUUAAUCGGAAUUACUGGGCGUAAAGCGCGCGUAGGUGGCUUGAUAAGCCGGUUGUGAAAGCCCCGGGCUCAACCUGGGAACGGCAUCCGGAACUGGCAAGCUAGAGGGCAGGAGAGGAAGGUAGAAUUCCCGGGGGAGCGGUGAAAUGCGUAGAGAUCGGGAGGAAUACCAGUGGCGAAGGCGGCCUUCUGGACCGACCAUGACCAUGAGGUGCGAAAGCGUGGGGAGCAAACCGGAUUAGAUACCCGGGUAGUC